Molecule: ribosomal RNA, 301 nt
Filed under: uncultured bacterium
Lineage: Bacteria
Description: partial 16S ribosomal RNA
Rfam family: Bacterial small subunit ribosomal RNA
Source: RNAcentral
CAGUAGCCGCGGGAAUACGUAGGGUGCAAGCGUUAAUCGGAAUUACUGGGCGUAAAGCGUGCGCAGGCGGUUUGUUAAGACAGAUGUGAAAUCCCCGGGCUCAACCUGGGAACUGCAUUUGUGACUGGCAGGCUAGAGUAUGGCAGAGGGGGGUGGAAUUCCGCGUGUAGCAGUGAAAUGCGUAGAUAUGCGGAGGAACACCGAUGGCGAAGGCGAUCCCCUGGGCCUGCACUGACGCUCAUGCACGAAAGCGUGGGGAGCGAACAGGAUUAGAUACCCGAGUAGUCCCUGUCUCUUAUAA